GAGGGCGCUUACCACUUUGUGAUUCAUGACUGGGGUGAAGUCGUAACAAGGUAACCGUAGGGGAACCUGCGGUUGGAUCACCUCCUUACCUGAAAGAA
RNAcentral lists this ribosomal RNA (98 nucleotides) under Salmonella enterica. RNAcentral's name for it is "partial 16S ribosomal RNA". The stretch from base 1 to 88 matches the Rfam family "Bacterial small subunit ribosomal RNA", at positions 1446 to 1533 of the family's 1533-position model. The record is from RNAcentral. Lineage: Bacteria; Pseudomonadati; Pseudomonadota; Gammaproteobacteria; Enterobacterales; Enterobacteriaceae.